This 464-nucleotide ribosomal RNA is filed under the name uncultured bacterium. Its description in RNAcentral is "partial 16S ribosomal RNA". It matches the Rfam family "Bacterial small subunit ribosomal RNA", at positions 330 to 792 of the family's 1533-position model. The record is from RNAcentral.
UCCAGACUCCUACGGGAGGCAGCAGUGAGGAAUAUUGGUCAAUGGACGCAAGUCUGAACCAGCCAUGCCGCGUGCAGGAAGACGGCUCUAUGAGUUGUAAACUGCUUUUGUACGAGGGUAAACGCAGAUACGUGUAUCUGUCUGAAAGUAUCGUACGAAUAAGGAUCGGCUAACUCCGUGCCAGCAGCCGCGGUAAUACGGAGGAUGCGAGCGUUAUCCGGAUUUAUUGGGUUUAAAGGGUGCGCAGGCGGAUUUUUAAGUCAGCGGUCAAAUCGUGGGGCUCAACCCCAUCCAGCCGUUGAAACUGGGGAUCUAGAGUGUGCGAGAGGUAUGCGGGAUGCGUGGUGUAGCGGUGAAAUGCAUAGAUAUCACGCAGAACCCCGAUUGCGAAGGCAGCAUACCGGUGCACAACUGACGCUCAGGCACGAAAGCGUGGGUAUCGAACAGGAUUAGAUACCCCAGUA